RNAcentral lists this long non-coding RNA (862 nucleotides) under Calidris pugnax (ruff). Its description in RNAcentral is "lncRNA (ENSCPUG00000016896.1)". The record is from RNAcentral. Lineage: Eukaryota; Metazoa; Chordata; Aves; Charadriiformes; Scolopacidae.
UGCCUCUCGCAGUAUUUAUACACCAAAAUGCUAUGUAGAGCCUUGGCACAGUAGGUCAGGGUCAGCAGGUUUUCGAUUUAAUUUGUGACUGCUGCUCAGCUUGUUCCUAAAACAGUGAUUAGUGCCGGAGGGCUCUCAAACUAUUUUGUGAGUACCACCCAACUCUUCUGCAAUCAUGGUAUGAUACUACACCUGAUAUGCACGCAGAUGGACCAAGUAAUUGGAGGGAAAAAUUGAAGAUGUUUCUUAUUCCUUGUUUCUUUCAUUUGGCAGCUAUCUUCACUGGAAGCUUAUACAGAUGUAAGGCAUCACAGCGGUGACACUUCCACUGAAGUCUUCCCAGAUAACAUAAUUCAUAGAUUAAUCUCCAGUGAAGUUUCCUGAAGAAGGGAUGCAUCCAAGCUCCCAAACCGUGGUGCGAGUUUGGGGAGUCACGCUGAGUCACCUGCCUGCAGGUGGGUCUGAAAAAAGGAAGCACCCAAAACCAGACCGAACUCAAACUGUGCUGAAGGGAUUAAAGCCCGGAGUUUGGGGUGCCCAGCCUGUAGCUCUGCCUGCCCCGCCUCGAGGAGCUCUGGAGCACACCAGUUGCCCUCGCUGAGUCCCGCCAUGCUGAGGGCAAAGCACAAGGCGUUUGCAAUCAGAGCACACGAGUGGGCAUUCAGCCUCAGAUUUACUGAAGACGGCGGCGUAACAAGAGAAAAAGGAGAGAGGACACCCUGAGAUGUGGAUGGCUCUGCUUUGUGGACAGUCACAGCGUCAGGAAAUGGAGGUAUGAGUAAAGACUUUUGGGCAGGUUCACAGAUCCUGUUUGUCACAAAACCAUUGCUUUGGAGUCUUAGUAAACCGGGUGUCCUGAUUC